CAUUUUUUAACUAGUUGUUGGACCGUUGAUUCAUGAACAGGCAGUGAGUGGCACAAGAAAAUUUAUGUAUCCUGGAGAUAAAUCUCAGAAAAAUCCAUGUUGUGAAUGGCAGAUUUUUAAGACAUUGGAGCUAAUCAACUAAUAACGUUGUCUUGAUUUAUUAGUUAUUACCUUAGCUAGUUAUAAUAACAGGGUUCAUUGCAUCAACUGCAGUUAAACUGUUUUGCUCCUCGCAAGUAUGUGGUCCUUGUUGAUUUCUUUAAAAACAGGUGAAUGGAGAAGAUUUAAUAUUUCUUUAUACUUGCUUUUGUGUUUUUUGUUUUGAAGGGAGAUUUGUUUGAUCAUGAAAGUUUGGUGAAGGCUAUAAAGCAAGUGGAUGUUGUUAUCUCUACAGUUGGUCAUGCUCAGUUAGUUGAGCAAGACAGGAUCAUUGCUGCAAUUAAAGAAGCUGGAAAUGUUAAGGUAUACAUGUAGUUAAUUUUGUUUGGGGUUUGAGAAUUACUAAUUUUAGCAAUCAUAGGCUUGUUAAUGCAAAUUGUUUGUUUUAUUGCAGAGAUUUUUCCCAUCAGAGUUUGGAAAUGAUGUGGAUAGAGUGAAUGCUGUUGAACCAGCAAAAUCAGCGUUUGCAACGAAGGCGAACGUAAGAAGGGCUAUUGAGGCUGAAGGGAUUCCAUACACCUAUGUAUCUUCCAAUUUUUUUUCUGGCUAUUUCCUUCUUUCUUUUAACCAGCCUGGAGCCACAGCUCCUCCAAGAGAUAAAGUUGUCAUCUUGGGUGAUGGAAAUCCUAAAGGUAAUGUUUCACAGAUUCUGUUGAAGAUUUUCCUGUGAUGGAAUAAAUUCCUGAUAACUUUCAUAUAUUUAUGUGCUAUUCAACUGCAGUGGUUUAGAACUGCAAAUGUUUAAGUAGGCUCAGUAUCCUGUUUAUUUGAGCACACCCUCCAUGGAUUUUGAAUGAUGAUCUGGAUUUUAUCACAAGCAUUAUCGGUCUUUAUCUGCUAAAACUGUAAAAAAACAUGUGACUGUUUUAGGCAAGUAUUCACUAGCCUGUUAGGUGUUCUCUGUAGCAAGAAGGACUCCAAUAUUUAAGCAUGCGCAAAUAGGAUGGUGCUUGUAGCUUGAUGCUGACUGAAUUGCAUGAAUCUUACAGUUUCAUGUUUUGAUCUACAGCUGUUUUCAACAAAGAAGAUGACAUUGCCACCUAUACUAUCAAAGCAGUGGAUGAUCCCAGAACCUUGAACAAAAUUCUCUACAUUAAACCCCCAGCCAACACCAUCUCAUUCAAUGAUCUUGUGUCCUUGUGGGAGAAGAAGAUUGGGAAAACCCUUGAAAGGAUCUAUGUUCCAGAGGAGCAACUUCUGAAAAAUAUCCAAGGUAAGAAAAUCAUUUCAUUAGCUUUUAUGCAAACAGCCUUAAUACUGACAGAGGAAAAUCUCUUCAGUUUAUAAGCAUCUAUUUAGAACUCUGUCAGCUGGGGGUACUGUCGAUUUUCCAAGAAACAAUUUCGAGAAAAAUCUCUGCCCUUGACAUAGUUUAAAUAUAUUUAACGAGUUUAAAUAAUUGUUAGCAGAUCUGAGUUUGAAUUGUUAAGAGGUAGCAUGGCAAAGUUAGCAAGUUUGACAUUGCUUGUCUCUCUGUUUUUCAGAAGCUUCGGUUCCAGUCAACGUGGUUUUGUCAAUUGGGCACUCGGUGUUCGUAAAGGGAGAUCACACCAACUUCGAGAUUGAACCAUCAUUUGGUGUAGAGGCUUCGGAGCUUUACCCUGAUGUCAAAUACACUACUGUGGAUGAAUAC
RNAcentral lists this long non-coding RNA (1792 nucleotides) under Populus trichocarpa (black cottonwood). Its description in RNAcentral is "long non-coding RNA (PTRI_LNC002356)". Lineage: Eukaryota; Viridiplantae; Streptophyta; Magnoliopsida; Malpighiales; Salicaceae. The record is from RNAcentral.